AUACUUACCUGGCAGGGGAGAUACCAUGAUAAUGAAGGUGGUUUUCCCAGGGUGAGGCUUACCCAAUGCACUCCAGAUGCACUGACUCCUGUGAGUUGCACAAACUCAACUGCAUAAUUUGUGGCAGUGGCAGGGGGAGGGGCUGCAUUCACUUUCUCCCC
This is a small nuclear RNA of Neotoma lepida (desert woodrat), 161 nucleotides long. It matches the Rfam family "U1 spliceosomal RNA". From Rfam's summary of the family: U1 is a small nuclear RNA (snRNA) component of the spliceosome (involved in pre-mRNA splicing). The record is from Rfam. Lineage: Eukaryota; Metazoa; Chordata; Mammalia; Rodentia; Cricetidae.